Molecule: ribosomal RNA, 413 nt
Filed under: uncultured bacterium
Lineage: Bacteria
Description: bacterial SSU rRNA
Rfam family: Bacterial small subunit ribosomal RNA
Source: RNAcentral
UGAGGAAUAUUGGACAAUGGGUGGAAGCCUGAUCCAGCCAUCCCGCGUGAAGGAUGACGGUCCUAUGGAUUGUAAACUUCUUUUGUACAGGGAUAAACCUGCCCUCGUGAGGGCAGCUGAAGGUACUGUACGAAUAAGCACCGGCUAACUCCGUGCCAGCAGCCGCGGUAAUACGGAGGGUGCGAGCGUUAUCCGGAUUUAUUGGGUUUAAAGGGUCCGUAGGCAGGCCUGUAAGUCAGUGGUGAAAUCUCAUAGCUUAACUAUGAAACUGCCAUUGAUACUUCAGGCGUUGAGUAAAUUUGAAGUGGCUGGAAUAAGUAGUGUAGCGGUGAAAUGCAUAGAUAUUACUUAGAACACCGAUUGCGAAGGCAGGUCACUAAGAUUUAACUGACGCUGAUGGACGAAAGCGUGGG